GAGUUUGAUCCUGGCUCAGAACGAACGCUGGCGGCAGGCUUAACACAUGCAAGUCGAACGCCCCGCAAGGGGAGUGGCAGACGGGUGAGUAACACGUGGGAACAUACCCUUUGGUUCGGAACAACGUUUGGAAACGGACGCUAAUACCGGAUACGCCCUUGGCCGUGAGGUUUGGGGGAAAGGCUUUGCUGCCGAAGGAUUGGCCCGCGUUCGAUUAGCUAGAUGGCGGGGUAACGGCCCACCAUGGCGACGAUCGAUAGCUGGUCUGAGAGGAUGGCCAGCCACAUUGGGACUGAGACACGGCCCAAACUCCUACGGGAGGCAGCAGUGGGGAAUAUUGGACAAUGGGCGCAAGCCUGAUCCAGCCAUGCCGCGUGAGUGAUGACGGCCUUAGGGUUGUAAAGCUCUUUCGCACGCGACGAUAAUGACGGUAGCGUGAGAAGAAGCCCCGGCUAACUUCGUGCCAGCAGCCGCGGUAAUACGAAGGGGGCUAGCGUUGUUCGGAAUCACUGGGCGUAAAGGGUGCGUAGGCUGGUUCUUAAGUCAGGGGUGAAAUCCCGAGGCUCAACCUCGGAACUGCCUUUGAUACUGGGGAUCUUGAGUCCGGAAGAGGUGAGUGGAACUGCGAGUGUAGAGGUGAAAUUCGUAGAUAUUCGCAAGAACACCGGUGGCGAAGGCGGCUCACUGGUCCGGAACUGACGCUGAGGCACGACAGCGUGGGGAGCAAACAGGAUUAGAUACCCUGGUAGUCCACGCCGUAAACGAUGGAUGCCAGCCGUUGGGUAGUAUACUGCUGAGUGGCGCAGCUAACGCUUUGAGCAUUCCGCCUGGGGAGUACGGUCGCAAGAUUAAAACUCAAAGGAAUUGACGG
This 871-nucleotide ribosomal RNA is filed under the name uncultured Alphaproteobacteria bacterium. RNAcentral's name for it is "bacterial SSU rRNA". It matches the Rfam family "Bacterial small subunit ribosomal RNA", at positions 9 to 916 of the family's 1533-position model. Lineage: Bacteria; Pseudomonadati; Pseudomonadota; Alphaproteobacteria. The record is from RNAcentral.